GCGGGAGUAACUCAGUGGUAGAGUGCGACCUUCCCAAGGUCGAGGCCGUGGGUUCAAAUCCCAUCUCCCGCUCCA
This 75-nucleotide transfer RNA is filed under the name Chloroflexota bacterium. RNAcentral's name for it is "tRNA-Gly". It matches the Rfam family "tRNA". Rfam says of the family: Transfer RNA (tRNA) molecules are approximately 80 nucleotides in length. Their secondary structure includes four short double-helical elements and three loops (D, anti-codon, and T loops). The record is from RNAcentral. Lineage: Bacteria; Bacillati; Chloroflexota.